GAUGAACGCUGGCGGCGUGCCUAAUACAUGCAAGUCGAACGAUCGACUUCGGUCGAUAGUGGCGAACGGGUGAGUAACGCGUUGGUGACCUGCCCCGAAGAGAGGGAUAACAGGCCGAAAGGCCUGCUAAUACCGCAUAAGCUAGCCAUGGAUUAGGAAGUGGUUAGGAAAAGGAGCAAUCCGCUUUGGGAGGGGCCUGCGUCCCAUCAGCUAGUUGGUAAGGUAACGGCUUACCAAGGCGAUGACGGGUAGGGGGCCUGAGAGGGUGAACCCCCACAAUGGAACUGAAACACGGUCCAUACACCUACGGGUGGCAG
This 317-nucleotide ribosomal RNA is filed under the name uncultured Chloroflexota bacterium. RNAcentral's name for it is "bacterial SSU rRNA". It matches the Rfam family "Bacterial small subunit ribosomal RNA", at positions 28 to 351 of the family's 1533-position model. The record is from RNAcentral. Lineage: Bacteria; Bacillati; Chloroflexota.